Molecule: ribosomal RNA, 791 nt
Filed under: uncultured bacterium
Lineage: Bacteria
Description: bacterial SSU rRNA
Rfam family: Bacterial small subunit ribosomal RNA
Source: RNAcentral
AGAGUUUGAUCCUGGCUCAGGAUGAACGCUAGCGGCAGGCCUAAUACAUGCAAGUCGAACGGGAUUGAGAAGCUUGCUUUUCAUGAGAGUGGCGCACGGGUGCGUAACACGUAUGUAACCUACCUUAAUCUGGGGGAUAGCCUCUCGAAAGAGAGAUUAACACCGCAUAACAUUAUCGGAUAGCAUUUUCUGAUAAUCAAAUAUUUAUAGGAUUAAGAUGGGCAUGCGGAACAUUAGCUAGUUGGUAAGGUAAUGGCUUACCAAGGCUACGAUGUUUAGGGGAUCUGAGAGGAUGACCCCCCACACUGGUACUGAGACACGGACCAGACUCCUACGGGAGGCAGCAGUAAGGAAUAUUGGUCAAUGGGCGCAAGCCUGAACCAGCCAUGCCGCGUGCAGGAAGACGGCCCUACGGGUUGUAAACUGCUUUUGUACCGGAAUAAACCUUUUCACGUGUGAGAAGCUGAAUGUACGGUAAGAAUAAGGAUCGGCUAACUCCGUGCCAGCAGCCGCGGUAAUACGGAGGAUCCAAGCGUUAUCCGGAUUUAUUGGGUUUAAAGGGUGCGUAGGCGGUUCUUUAAGUCAGGGGUGAAAGACGGUAGCUUAACUAUCGCAGUGCCUUUGAUACUGAAGAACUUGAAUACACUUGAGGUAGGCGGAAUGUGACAAGUAGCGGUGAAAUGCAUAGAUAUGUCACAGAACACCAAUUGCGAAGGCAGCUUACUAAAGUGUCAUUGACGCUGAGGCACGAAAGCGUGGGGAUCAAACAGGAUUAGAUACCCUGGUAGUCC